GAAUUAGACUACUAUACUAUUAAUAGCAUUAAGCGCUUGUUGCUAUUAUAUUUUUGGCCUUUGGGUGAAGAAAUGUAUGGUUAGGAUGAUAGUGAUCCUUUAAAGUUGAGUGGAUGGUUGGUUGAAUAAUAUGAUGUAACAGAUGGAAAUAGUUAAAAGGGUAAAUCUAACGGUGAAAAACUCCAUAUAUAGUACCAAAUGCUUGGUACAAUUGAUAAUAUAGUAGCCAGACUCUAUAUAUCUAUACUAUAUAUUAAAGUUAAUAGGAUUUCUUACCAUGAAUCAAAAAGGAAUUAAAAAAAUUUUCUACAAAUGGUUUUGAUCAAUUUGUUAAAAAAUUUAUCAAACAAGAAUGAACAUUAUGAUCAAUCUGUUAAAAAAUAGUAUUC
This 389-nucleotide long non-coding RNA is filed under the name Ananas comosus (pineapple). RNAcentral describes it as "long non-coding RNA (ACOM_LNC026720)". Lineage: Eukaryota; Viridiplantae; Streptophyta; Magnoliopsida; Poales; Bromeliaceae. The record is from RNAcentral.